Sarcophilus harrisii (Tasmanian devil) is the source of this 215-nucleotide long non-coding RNA. RefSeq lists it as uncharacterized. NCBI's taxonomy places the organism in Eukaryota, Metazoa, Chordata, Mammalia, Dasyuromorphia, Dasyuridae. The record is from RefSeq and is a predicted model, not a curated record. The transcript is spliced from 3 exons.
UCUUCAGUUUGAGGAUCAAAGCAUAAAGGCAGGUAAUUUAGUGGGAAAGAUUAAAUUUAACCAUGUUUUCUUGGGUGUGUCUUCACAGCCUUCUACUCCAUCCCAGGAAAGACACAAUAUGCAGCCUUCACUUCUGCACCUUUCCAAGACGAAAUCCGAGAACUAGAAUGUGGUCGACCUCUUCGCCAGGACCGCAUUGUGGGUGGCUCUGAUGC